This 497-nucleotide ribosomal RNA is filed under the name uncultured bacterium. Its description in RNAcentral is "partial 16S ribosomal RNA". It matches the Rfam family "Bacterial small subunit ribosomal RNA", at positions 28 to 507 of the family's 1533-position model. The record is from RNAcentral.
GAUGAACGCUGGCGGCGUGCCUAAUACAUGCAAGUCGAGCGAACAGACGAGGAGCUUGCUCCUCUGACGUUAGCGGCGGACGGGUGAGUAACACGUGGAUAACCUACCUAUAAGACUGGGAUAACUUCGGGAAACCGGAGCUAAUACCGGAUAAUAUAUUGAACCGCAUGGUUCAAUAGUGAAAGACGGUUUUGCUUUCACUUAUAGAUGGAUCCGCGCCGCAUUAGCUAGUUGGUAAGGUAACGGCUUACCAAGGCGACGAUGCGUAGCCGACCUGAGAGGGUGAUCGGCCACACUGGAACGGAGACACGGUCCAGACUCCUACGGGAGGCAGCAGUAGGGAAUCUUCCGCAAUGGGCGAAAGCCUGACGGAGCAACGCCGCGUGAGUGAUGAAGGUCUUCGGAUCGUAAAACUCUGUUAUUAGGGAAGAACAAAUGUGUAAGUAACUAUGCACGUCUUGACGGUACCUAAUCAGAAAGCCACGGCUAACUACGUG